GUAGAUAGGGGGGGUGGAUAGGAUAGAUAGGGCUGAUAGAGUAGAUAGGAUAGAUAGGGCUGAUAGAGUAGAUAGGAAUGAUAGGGUAGUUAGAGGUGUAGAUAGGGCUGAUAGGGUAGUUAGAGGGGUAGAUAGGGCUGAUAGGGGUAGUUAGGGUAGAUAGGCCACAAACCAAAUCAUCCUUCUUCUAGCCACAGCUGCCAUUGCAGUUCUCAGGUGUCCCAUCAUUACGUCAUGAUGACGACACAGACUUUGCUGAAGCCACGUCGUAAAAAGCACUAAAUAUAUUGUAGUUUACUUGCUCUUGUAAUAUGGUUAUCAUGUAGGCCUACUUAUAAUAAAAAUAUAUAUCAAAUAAAAC
Molecule: long non-coding RNA, 361 nt
Organism: Seriola aureovittata
Lineage: Eukaryota; Metazoa; Chordata; Actinopteri; Carangiformes; Carangidae
Exons: 2
Source: RefSeq, a predicted model, not a curated record